This 349-nucleotide ribosomal RNA is filed under the name uncultured eukaryote. RNAcentral describes it as "SSU rRNA". It matches the Rfam family "Eukaryotic small subunit ribosomal RNA", at positions 594 to 945 of the family's 1831-position model. The record is from RNAcentral.
AUAGCGUAUAUUAAAGUUGUUGCAGUUAAAAAGCUCGUAGUUGAACUUCGGGGUCUACCCAUUGGUCAGGCUUAAUUGUCUGCACUGGUGGGAUGGAUCUCUACCUUCUGAGGAACUUUCAUGCCAUUUAUUUGGUGUGAUUGGAAAUCAGGACUGUUACUUUGAAAAAAUUAGAGUGUUUAAAGCAGACUAUCGUCUGAAUACAUUAGCAUGGAAUAAUGAAAUAGGACGGACUGAUUCUAUUUCGUUGGUUUCUAGGAUCACCGUAAUGAUUAAUAGGGAUAGUUGGGGGCAUUAGUAUUCAAUUGUCAGAGGUGAAAUUCUUGGAUUUAUUGAAGACUAACUACUG